UUACCAAAAGCUAGAUUUGUGGAAAGGUUUUUUAAAUAACCUUAACCAACUUGGGCUAUUUGGCAGAAUGAGUAAGACCACACUCCACAGUGAGCUAUACCACUACGUAUGGUUCAUUACUAUCUUGUGGCCUACACU
This is a small nucleolar RNA of Onychomys torridus (southern grasshopper mouse), 138 nucleotides long. RefSeq annotates it as small nucleolar RNA SNORA4. NCBI's taxonomy places the organism in Eukaryota, Metazoa, Chordata, Mammalia, Rodentia, Cricetidae. The transcript has a single exon. The record is from RefSeq and is a predicted model, not a curated record.